CUUUCUUAGCGUCCCGCCAUAAACAUAAAUCUCACCGUUGUAACCAUCACGUCAAACACAUACACUACCAUCCGGUCCAUCGCAUCAAGUACUUCCAUUAUGUACCAAUUCAUCACGCAUGGAAUGACGAUGGUUGGCAUGGGAACGUUGGCGGAUCGACUGACAAAUGGUACAGUCGAUGGUACCACGGAUACAAGCUAGACAGCGGCUAUGGAUGGUGGUAACAUGAACGUGAUAUGCUGACUGGCGACUGAUCUAGCAGCAUCCCCCAUACGCCGCUUAGAAGGUGCGCCAAUACGUUGUUUUUCGGGGGUAAAUGAGUGGUGUGAGAAGCUAAGUGAACAUGGCCGAGUGAAGUGAAAAGUAGGUCAUCCAUUAGAUUGUUAAGUUUGUGUCGAACAUGUAAAAUUGCCAAGUGGAAUAAAUUCGAUCAGCUUGAUCGACCUCGUUUGAUGUCAACAACAAUAGAGAAAAUUAUUAGGCUAGAAGAUAUCGUGCCGGUCACUAGACGUAAAUUGAUUGCAGCUAUGUGAUCGUAAGGGUCAAUAUACUCAAUACAAAACAAGCUUUUAACUACCUGGGUGGAUAAAUUGCCGAUGGCACGGCAGUCUGCCGUCAACCGCACAGCGUCUGCGCAGACUAAAAGAAAAGGAGCAGUACUGCGGAGAAGAAUUAUAUUCAAAACUGUCGAAUCUUCUACACAACAUAGUUUAGUAAACAGGUUUUUGUAUUGGUUGGUGCCGGAAGUGACUAAACUUUGAAGGAAAAAUGUAAAUACGAUACUGAUAGUGUGUUUGUGUGUGCCUAGGAAAAAUCUGCAUAAAUGAUUAGAAAAAAAUGAAAAACAAUACUUGGUAAACACGUCAAUACGUAAACUCGCUGUGAAUAAAGCGUUUUUAAUUAUAUUGAAACUAUUUUCUUUUGAUAGUAAAAAGUAUAUUGGACUCUCUUUGUUAACUGGCGUGAAUCCGAUAGA
Molecule: long non-coding RNA, 976 nt
Organism: Varroa destructor (honeybee mite)
Lineage: Eukaryota; Metazoa; Arthropoda; Arachnida; Mesostigmata; Varroidae
Source: RefSeq, a predicted model, not a curated record